Molecule: ribosomal RNA, 468 nt
Filed under: uncultured bacterium
Lineage: Bacteria
Description: partial 16S ribosomal RNA
Rfam family: Bacterial small subunit ribosomal RNA
Source: RNAcentral
GAUGAACGCUGGCGGCGUGCUUAACACAUGCAAGUCGAACGGAAAGGCCCUUCUUUUGUGGGGUGCUCGAGUGGCGAACGGGUGAGUAACACGUGAGUAAUCUGCCCUGCACUUUGGGAUAACCCUAGGAAACUGGGGCUAAUACCGGAUAGGACCAUCUGUUGCAUGGCGGGGUGUGGAAUGUUUUGGCGGUGGGGUAUGGGCUCGCGGUUUAUGAGCUUGUUGGUGGGGAUGUGGUUUACCAAGGCGUUGACGGGUAGGCGGCAUGAGAGGGUGUACGGCUACAUUGGGACUGAGAGACGGGCCAGCAUACUACGGGAGGCAGGAGUGGGGAAUAUUGCACAAUGGGCGGCAGCCUGAUGCAGCGACGCCGCGUGGGGGAUGACGGCCUUCGGGUUGUAAACACCUUUCGCUAGGGACGAAGCGCAAGUGACGUUACCUGGAGAAGAAGCACCGGCUAGCUACGUG